CUCGCGGCGCCGGCACCGAGCGAGGUCCUAACGCCUCGCGAGAGGGAACCCGGUGAGAAUCCGGGACUGUCCCGCAGCGGUAUGCAGGAACGACCGCCGUCACACGCACUGGUCCGCAUCGGACUGGGAAGCGACGGCCAGUAGGUGCACCUUUUCGGUGCGCGCCUGUGAGUCCGAAGACCUGCCAGGUGUGCCGGGCGCGC
RNAcentral lists this non-coding RNA (203 nucleotides) under Mycobacterium gordonae. The record is from RNAcentral. Lineage: Bacteria; Bacillati; Actinomycetota; Actinomycetes; Mycobacteriales; Mycobacteriaceae.